Molecule: long non-coding RNA, 1035 nt
Organism: Physeter macrocephalus (sperm whale)
Lineage: Eukaryota; Metazoa; Chordata; Mammalia; Artiodactyla; Physeteridae
Exons: 3
Source: RefSeq, a predicted model, not a curated record
CAGGUGUCCCACACUGCAUUGCCUUCCAGUGCCCGGGCAAGGGCGGGGGGCCACGCGGUGAGGACCCCAUGCAGGGCCCAGGGCUGUGGGAGGCUUGACAACACUCCCUCUGCAGCCAUCCAGGCGCUGGCACAGCGGCUCUCGUGGCUCCCUCAACACUGGCUGAUGUCUGUCUUCUCUCUGCGUCCUGGCUGCCCACACCCUGCCCAGCAGCUGUUCCCACUUGCAGGCCCUUCCCAUCGACGUGCCUUUCGCAGCUCUGCUGGAGCCUCAAGACUUCUGCAAGGUCAGGCUGCCGUCAGUCUCAGGCUGCUUGCUCCGAGAAGCUUCUCUGCGAUGGUGGGAAGGAUGCUGGCUCUGGAGCUGGUCAGACCCAGGUUCCAACUCUGAUUUACUAGAUGCGUGAUUUGGGGGAAGCUAUUUAGACUCUUGAGGCCUCAGUCUUCUCUAAAAUGGGCUCAUUAAAGCAGCUGCCACACUUGCUUGUUUUGAGGAUUUAAGGAGCUGAAAUGCAAUGCCUGGUGAGCAGUUCACACGGUCCCGUCCCAGAAUGGAAGCCUGCCCUCCGUGAGACCUGAACAUCUAUCCUGGGAGCCCUCCAAACCAACCUGCAGGGCACGUGAUGGACGAGAGAUGGGCCAGCUCGGUGUCCAGGGAGAUGAGCUUUACCCACGGGCUGGCAGUGUUGCACGAGGGGAACAACGGAGUCAUUUUUAGCCGGCUGGUUCGGGGGAGCCUUUGAGCGGCCCCUGGAAUCCGCAAGGAUCAACAGGAGCCUGCGGGGCUGAGCUGUGUUUGAUUUAAAAUUGGAAACAGGAGGCAGAAGAGUGGCUUUAUAUAGCCUGGGAGGUCCAGGAGCCCUGCACUGAUUUAUGACAGGCCUGCCGAAAGCACAUGGAAGCCGAGCACUGAGCACACGUCCAGUGAAAGACACAAGGUCCCUGGAGAUGACGUCAGUGCUUCUUUUGGCAGAUGGGACCAUGAUGCACAUCUGAGCCUCUGAGGUGACAACGGGCUUGGCUCUCUGCUCAUGGC